RNAcentral lists this ribosomal RNA (497 nucleotides) under uncultured bacterium. RNAcentral describes it as "partial 16S ribosomal RNA". It matches the Rfam family "Bacterial small subunit ribosomal RNA", at positions 28 to 507 of the family's 1533-position model. The record is from RNAcentral.
GAUGAACGCUGGCGGCGUGCCUAAUACAUGCAAGUCGAGCGAACAGACGAGGAGCUUGCUCCUCUGACGUUAGCGGCGGACGGGUGAGUAACACGUGGAUAACCUACCUAUAAGACUGGGAUAACUUCGGGAAACCGGAGCUAAUACCGGAUAAUAUAUUGAACCGCAUGGUUCAAUAGUGAAAGACGGUUUUGCUGUCACUUAUAGAUGGAUCCGCGCCGCAUUAGCUAGUUGGUAAGGUAACGGCUUACCAAGGCGACGAUGCGUAGCCGACCUGAGAGGGUGAUCGGCCACACUGGAACUGAGACACGGUCCAGACUCCUACGGGAGGCAGCAGUAGGGAAUCUUCCGCAAAGGGCGAAAGCCUGACGGAGCAACGCCGCGUGAGUGAUGAAGGUCUUCGGAUCGUAAAACCCUGUUAUUAGGGAAGAACAAAUGUGUAAGUAACUAUGCACGUCUUGACGGUACCUAAUCAGAAAGCCACGGCUAACUACGUG